GAGUUUGAUGAUGGCUCUGAUUGAACGCUGUCCAAAUGCUUGACACAUGCUAAUCGUACGACAAAUCUCAAUUAAUUAAUUGUAGUUUGUAGUGGUGAACAGGUGAGUAAAUGAUAAUUAAACUACCUUUUAGCAAGGUAUUAAAAUACCUUAUAACCAAAGAAUGUGAAUUCGCUUUAAGAUGUUUUCUUUUUUAUCUCGGAAAAGUAGUAGGUAAAGGUGGUAUUUACUUAGCAUGAAUUCCGUAGUCGAAACUGAGAGGUUGAUCGACCACAUUGGGUCUGAAAAAACCCCAAUACGUAUAGUACAGCAGUGAGGGAUAUUGGUCAAUAGUCUAACGGCUGAACCAGCAAUUUGGAGGAACGUAAGGGAAAAAAGUGUGUUACAAAUACAUUUUUUUCUAGUGGUUUAUCCGCAUAAAGUUCUAGAUAAAGACUGAUAAUGACAAUCUUUCAUCUAUAAGUCUUGACAAAAUCACGUGCCAGCAGUCGCGGUAAUACGGGAAAGACGAGUGUUAUUCAUCUUUAAUGGGUUUAAAGGGUACCUAGACAGCUUAUUCAACUCGAAAGGGUAGUCAUAAGCUAGAGUUUGAUGUAAGAGGAAUGUCAGUACUAACGGUGUAGAGAUAAAAUUCUGUAAUACUGUAGGGCACUGGUAACGGCGAAGGCAAACCUUUAUGUAAAAACUGACGUUGAGGGACGAAGGCUUGGGUAGCAAACAGGAUUAGAUACCCUAAUAGUCCAGGCAGAAAAUGAUGAGUGCCAUAGGUUAGAUAUAUUUUGAUCUAUAAAUGAAAGUGUAAGCAUUCCACCUCAAGAGUAAUGUGGCAACGCAGGAACUGAAAUCAUUAGACCGUUUCUGAAACCAGUAGUGAAGUAUGUUGUUUAAUUCGAUGAUCCGCGAAUAAUCUUACCACAGUUUGUAUAUUAUAUUAAUUUGUAUUUUGAUAUUAAAACAUAAUAAUUAGAAAUAUAAAUUGCCUUUAAUACAGGUGCUGCAUGGCUGUCUUUAGUUAAUGUCGUGAGACGUAGGUUAGAUCCAGAAAUUAACGUAAACCCUUGCAUCAUUUGUAAAUGAUGUAGUUCCCCGCUAUAUUGGAAAGACAAAAGGGAUCAAGACAAGUACUCAUGGUCCUAAUACUGUGGGCUAUAGACGUGCCACAUUUGCCUAAUACAAAAAGAUGCAAAGAUGCAAAUAGCAAGCUAAUCUUUAAAAUAGGUAAUAAAAUGGAUUGUAGUCUGAAAUUCGACUGCAUGAAUAAGGAAUUACUAGUAAUCGUGAAUCACCACGUCACGGUGAAUGCUAUCUCAGAUAGGUACUAACCACUCGUCAAGCGCUGAAAGGAGUAUGUGCAAUAAGUUUGGUUACUGCUGGUUUGUAAAAGAGAAGAGAUCUCUACAUAUUGGUAAAUGAUCUUCGUAUGCAUGAUUCUGAUUGGUGUUAAGUCGAAAUACGGUUCGUGUAGUGGAAAUUGC
Molecule: ribosomal RNA, 1475 nt
Filed under: Opegrapha vulgata
Lineage: Eukaryota; Fungi; Ascomycota; Arthoniomycetes; Arthoniales; Opegraphaceae
Description: 12S ribosomal RNA
Rfam family: Bacterial small subunit ribosomal RNA
Source: RNAcentral